CAGUAGCCGCGGUAAGACGAACCGUGCGAACGUUAUUCGGAAUCACUGGGCUUAAAGCGCGUGUAGGCGGGCCGCCACGUCGGCUGCUGAAAUCCCCCGGCUCAACCGGGGAAGUGGCACCGAUACGAGCGGCCUCGAGGGGGGUAGGGGGGACUGGAACUUCCGGUGGAGCGGUGAAAUGCGUUGAGAUCGGAAGGAACGCCCGUGGCGAAAGCGAGUCCCUGGACCCUUUCUGACGCUGAGACGCGAAAGCCAGGGGAGCGAACGGGAUUAGAGACCCCCGUAGUCCCUGUCUCUUAUA
RNAcentral lists this ribosomal RNA (301 nucleotides) under uncultured bacterium. RNAcentral's name for it is "partial 16S ribosomal RNA". It matches the Rfam family "Bacterial small subunit ribosomal RNA", at positions 509 to 807 of the family's 1533-position model. The record is from RNAcentral.